RNAcentral lists this small RNA (314 nucleotides) under Oryza sativa Japonica Group (Japanese rice). RNAcentral's name for it is "sRNA Os05g0558051". The record is from RNAcentral. Lineage: Eukaryota; Viridiplantae; Streptophyta; Magnoliopsida; Poales; Poaceae.
AAAAAAGCUAUCUUGCCAGUCUUAAAUCAGCAGUUCAGUCUGAAAAAUGACACAGUUCUCAAAGAAGAACCUGGGAUGUAGGAUGGACAUAAACCUGAUGGCAAAACAAGAUACGUGAAAGCUUUGGGUUCAGUAGCAAGGACGUCAUGAACGCACCUUCCAACAAAAAACAACAAUUCGAUAGUCCUGCAAUUUGUUAGAAAGAGGGAAAAUAGGUGUUUGAUUUUGAGGCAGCGUUGGUUGUUUCUUAUGAAGGUCGCCAUCCAGGAGAUCACCCAAAGUCUGAGUAUAAAGAAGAUAAUAAAUACUAGUGA